Molecule: long non-coding RNA, 869 nt
Filed under: Rattus norvegicus (Norway rat)
Lineage: Eukaryota; Metazoa; Chordata; Mammalia; Rodentia; Muridae
Description: long non-coding RNA NONRATT008496
Source: RNAcentral
ACACUCAUUAAAAAAAAAUUAAGGCAUUUUGGUGUACCUGGGGGUGCUCAGUCUAGGUGACUACUUACCCUCAAACCUGGGCUGGAACUUUCCAAUGGCAAAGCUGGAAUAUGCUCUAAGGGAGCAGAAGCUGCCAGAGUUGGCCAUCAGGAAAGGUACAAAAUGCAUGCCUUCCUCUUCUGUCAGCAUCUGUAAACAGACACCACAGGAGUACCCUAGUGUGGCCUCCAACUUGUUUAAAAAGAAAAAACAAAAACCUACCUUAUAUUGAGGACAAUGAAAAAGGGAAGUCCUUUUGUUCUACCUCUGCCCUGAGUCGGGGCUGCCGUGGGUCACGUAAAUACAUUUCAUUUAUCACGACAUCCUGUGCUUCACAAAGACAGUGGAGAGGUCAUUCAGCCUAAGAUCACACAGAUUUCCUGGAUAAAGUGAAUGGUGGGAAAGGCUGAUGCUAUGUGUGUUGGCGUUAAGUUCCUGUCCACAGUCUGGAGAGGUGAACCUCUGAAGGGCUUAGUCAUGGGUCCCCCUCAGAAUCAGUAGAGGUGGAGGGAGGAUUUUCCAAGUUUUUAAUGAGUUUGAGUCAACCCUACAAACUAUUCAAGGAGGAACCACAAAGUAAAACAUGGACUCAAGGACUUCAGAGACUUACCUAGAUGCCUCUAAACACCGGGCUGAAGCCAGGCUGUUCUGUCCUAGAACCACCUUGAGCUGUCAGGAACAAGUCCAUCAACCAACCAUUCAUGGCGAAGACCCAAACUGCCCAAACUGCCAUCCCCAGGGACCUUGCACAUAGCCUCGUGUGUUACUGUUCACCAUUACUGUCCCUUCUGACACUUCCAACAUGACAGACAAAAAUGCUUUAGUGGGUG